AGGAUAAACGCUGGCGGCGUGCCUAAUGCAUGCAAGUCGAACGGGAGUGCUUUCGGGCAUCGACCGUGGCGGACGGGUGAGGAACACGUAGCUAACCUGCCCAGGUAUGGGGGAUAUGCGCUGGAAACGGCGUGCAAUACCGCAUACGUUCGGGUCACGGGAGUGACUUGAGGAAAGUCUCGUAAGAGAUGUACCUGGAGGGGCUGCGGCCGAUUAGCUAGUUGGUGUGGUAAGAGCGCACCAGGCGAUGAUCGGUAGCUGGUCUGAGAGGACGAUCACGCCGACGACGGGGACUGGACGACCGACCGGCCCGACGUCCGUACGGG
This 326-nucleotide ribosomal RNA is filed under the name uncultured soil bacterium. RNAcentral describes it as "bacterial SSU rRNA". It matches the Rfam family "Bacterial small subunit ribosomal RNA", at positions 26 to 345 of the family's 1533-position model. The record is from RNAcentral.